CGGCAACAGCUCAAAUUUGAAAUCUGGCUUCGGCCCGAGUUGUAGUCUAGAGAAGCAUCAUCCGUGCUGGACCAUGUACAAGUCUCUUGGAACAGAGCGUCAUAGAGGGUGAGAAUCCCGUCCUUGACAUGGACUCCCAGUACUUUGUGUUGUGCUCUCAAC
This 162-nucleotide ribosomal RNA is filed under the name Ceratobasidiaceae sp. Its description in RNAcentral is "partial large subunit ribosomal RNA". It matches the Rfam family "Eukaryotic large subunit ribosomal RNA", at positions 99 to 261 of the family's 3401-position model. Lineage: Eukaryota; Fungi; Basidiomycota; Agaricomycetes; Cantharellales; Ceratobasidiaceae. The record is from RNAcentral.